GAAAUCUAAUGUGAAUAACUCAGUGACAAAAAGCAAUAAACAGUAUGAAGACGUUGUAUAAACAAAUCAUGCUAAGUGAAUAAGUAUUUUACUACACAGAGAAAUUUAAGACUUCUAAUAUAAGUGGAAAGUAGUUGACAAACUGUACCACAAAUUUGAAAUGAUAAACACGAGCAGUUUUCCAGACAGUUAUGCAGACAACGGUGAAUAUUGGAACUACUGAUGUUUCUUAUAAUAGUUGUCGAAUCUUCCAUACAGUUGGCGACUCUGAUUUUUAAUGAAGUUUAAUGAGAUAAUAAAACUCAUUUUAUAGCAAGGCAA
Molecule: long non-coding RNA, 321 nt
Organism: Xenia sp. Carnegie-2017
Lineage: Eukaryota; Metazoa; Cnidaria; Anthozoa; Malacalcyonacea; Xeniidae
Exons: 4
Source: RefSeq, a predicted model, not a curated record